This 918-nucleotide ribosomal RNA is filed under the name uncultured bacterium. RNAcentral describes it as "bacterial SSU rRNA". It matches the Rfam family "Bacterial small subunit ribosomal RNA", at positions 8 to 918 of the family's 1533-position model. The record is from RNAcentral.
GAGAGUUUGAUCCUGGCUCAGAUUGAACGCUGGCGGCAUGCUUUACACAUGCAAGUCGAACGGCANCACGGGCUUCGGUCUGGUGGCGAGUGGCGAACGGGUGAGUAAUACAUCGGAACGUACCCAGAAGUGGGGGAUAACGUAGCGAAAGUUACGCUAAUACCGCAUACGUUCUACGGAAGAAAGUGGGGGAUCGCAAGACCUCAUGCUUUUGGAGCGGCCGAUGUCUGAUUAGCUAGUUGGUGAGGUAAAGGCCCACCAAGGCGACGAUCAGUAGCUGGUCUGAGAGGACGACCAGCCACACUGGAACUGAGACACGGUCCAGACUCCUACGGGAGGCAGCAGUGGGGAAUUUUGGACAAUGGGCGCAAGCCUGAUCCAGCAAUGCCGCGUGAGUGAAGAAGGCCUUCGGGUUGUAAAGCUCUUUUGUCAGGGAAGAGACGGUAGAGGCUAAUAUCCUUUGCUAAUGACGGUACCUGAAGAAUAAGCACCGGCUAACUACGUGCCAGCAGCCGCGGUAAUACGUAGGGUGCAAGCGUUAAUCGGAAUUACUGGGCGUAAAGCGUGCGCAGGCGGUUUUGUAAGUCUGACGUGAAAGCCCCGGGCUCAACCUGGGAAUUGCGCUGGAGACUGCAAGGCUUGAAUCUGGCAGAGGGGGGUAGAAUUCCACGUGUAGCAGUGAAAUGCGUAGAGAUGUGGAGGAACACCGAUGGCGAAGGCAGCCCCCUGGGUCAAGAUUGACGCUCAUGCACGAAAGCGUGGGGAGCAAACAGGAUUAGAUACCCUGGUAGUCCACGCCCUAAACGAUGUCUACUAGUUGUCGGGGUUUUAAUUAACUUGGUAACGCAGCUAAUGCGUGAAGUAGACCGCCCGGGGGAGUACGGCCGCAAGNAUUAAAACUCCAAGGAAUUGACGGGG